Molecule: ribosomal RNA, 370 nt
Filed under: uncultured bacterium
Lineage: Bacteria
Description: bacterial SSU rRNA
Rfam family: Bacterial small subunit ribosomal RNA
Source: RNAcentral
GUAGGGUCCAAGCGUUGUCCGGAUUUAUUGGGCGUAAAGAGCUCGUAGGUGGUUCGCUAAGUCGGAUGUGAAAACUCGGGGCUCAACCCCGAGACGCCAUCCGAUACUGGCGUGACUUGAGUCUGGUAGGGGAGAUCGGAAUUCCUGGUGUAGCGGUGAAAUGCGCAGAUAUCAGGAGGAACACCGGUGGCGAAGGCGGAUCUCUGGGCCAGUACUGACACUGAGGAGCGAAAGCGUGGGUAGCAAACAGGAUUAGAUACCCUGGUAGUCCACGCCGUAAACGUUGGGCACUAGGUGUGGGUUCCUAUCGACGGAAUCCGUGCCGUAGCUAACGCAUUAAGUGCCCCGCCUGGGGAGUACGGCCGCAAGG